GAUGAACGCUGGCGGCGUGCCUAAUACAUGCAAGUCGAGCGAACAGACGAGGAGCUUGCUCCUCUGACGUUAGCGGCGGACGGGUGAGUAACACGUGGAUAACCUACCUAUAAGACUGGGAUAACUUCGGGAAACCGGAGCUAAUACCGGAUAAUAUAUUGAACCGCAUGGUUCAAUAGUGAAAGACGGUUUUGCUGUCACUUAUAGAUGGAUCCGCGCCGCAUUAGCUAGUUGGUAAGGUAACGGCUUACCAAGGCAACGAUGCGUAGCCGACCUGAGAGGCUGAUCGGCCACACUGGAAGUGAGACACGCUCCAGACUCCUAGGAGAGGCAGCAGUAGGGAAUCUGCCGCAAUGGGCGAAAGCCUGACGGAAUAACGCCGCGUGAGUGAGAAAGAUCUUCGGAUCGUAAAACUCUGUUAUUAGGGAAGAACAAAUGUGUAAGUAACUAUGCACGUCUUGACGGUACCUGAUCAGAAAGCCACGGCUAACUACGUG
Molecule: ribosomal RNA, 497 nt
Filed under: uncultured bacterium
Lineage: Bacteria
Description: partial 16S ribosomal RNA
Rfam family: Bacterial small subunit ribosomal RNA
Source: RNAcentral